UAGGGAAUCUUCCACAAUGGACGCAAGUCUGAUGGAGCAACGCCGCGUGAGUGAAGAAGGUUUUCGGAUCGUAAAGCUCUGUUGUUGGUGAAGAAGGAUAGAGGCAGUAACUGGUCUUUAUUUGACGGUAAUCAACCAGAAAGUCACGGCUAACUACGUGCCAGCAGCCGCGGUAAUACGUAGGUGGCAAGCGUUGUCCGGAUUUAUUGGGCGUAAAGCGAGCGCAGGCGGAAUGAUAAGUCUGAUGUGAAAGCCCACGGCUCAACCGUGGAACUGCAUCGGAAACUGUCAUUCUUGAGUGCAGAAGAGGAGAGUGGAAUUCCAUGUGUAGCAGUGGAAUGCGUAGAUAUAUGGAAGAACACCAGUGGCGAAGGCGGCUCUCUGGUCUGCAACUGACGCUGAGGCUCGAAAGCAUGGGUAGCGAACAGG
Molecule: ribosomal RNA, 429 nt
Filed under: bacterium
Lineage: Bacteria
Description: partial 16S ribosomal RNA
Rfam family: Bacterial small subunit ribosomal RNA
Source: RNAcentral